ACGAACGCUGGCGGCGUGCCUAAUACAUGCAAGUAGAACGCUGAAGAGAGGAGCUUGCUCUUCUUGGAUGAGUUGCGAACGGGUGAGUAACGCGUAGGUAACCUGCCUGGUAGCGGGGGAUAACUAUUGGAAACGAUAGCUAAUACCGCAUAACAGUAGAUAUUGCAUGAUAUCUGCUUGAAAGGUGCAAAUGCAUCACUACCAGAUGGACCUGCGUUGUAUUAGCUAGUUGGUGAGGUAACGGCUCACCAAGGCGACGAUACAUAGCCGACCUGAGAGGGUGAUCGGCCACACUGGGACUGAGACACGGCCCAGACUCCUACGGGAGGCAGCAGUAGGGAAUCUUCGGCAAUGGGGGGAACCCUGACCGAGCAACGCCGCGUGAGUGAAGAAGGUUUUCGGAUCGUAAAGCUCUGUUGUAAGAGAAGAACGGGUGUGAGAGUGGAAAGUUCACACUGUGACGGUAUCUUACCAGAAAGGGACGGCUAACUACGUGCCAGCAGCCGCGGUAAUACGUAGGUCCCGAGCGUUGUC
Molecule: ribosomal RNA, 534 nt
Filed under: uncultured bacterium
Lineage: Bacteria
Description: bacterial SSU rRNA
Rfam family: Bacterial small subunit ribosomal RNA
Source: RNAcentral